Molecule: ribosomal RNA, 253 nt
Filed under: uncultured bacterium
Lineage: Bacteria
Description: partial 16S ribosomal RNA
Rfam family: Bacterial small subunit ribosomal RNA
Source: RNAcentral
UACGGAGGGUGCGAGCGUUGUCCGGAAUCACUGGGCGUAAAGGGCGCGUAGGUGGCGCGGGCAGUCAACGGUGAAAGUUCGGGGCUCAACCCUGAAUCGGCCGUCGAUACUCCCGGGCUUGAGCACUGUAGAGGCAGAUGGAAUUCCGGGUGUAGCGGUGGAAUGCGUAGAGAUCCGGAAGAACACCGGUGGCGAAGGCGGUCUGCUGGGCAGUAGCUGACACUGAGGCGCGAAAGCUAGGGUAGCAAACGGG